This is a long non-coding RNA of Lycium ferocissimum, 634 nucleotides long. RefSeq lists it as uncharacterized. The transcript has 2 exons. The record is from RefSeq and is a predicted model, not a curated record. Lineage: Eukaryota; Viridiplantae; Streptophyta; Magnoliopsida; Solanales; Solanaceae.
UCGUUGUUGCAUAAGUUGUUCUUUGCUUCCUAGUCGAAUAACAACCAUGACUUUACUCCGGCGGCUGCUAAAGCCGUCGAUGUCGCUGCCAUUGCUCCUGUUGUUGAUGAUGAUGAGGUGGCAGCGACGAUGGUGGAACGACGCCAAAUCUGAGAAUACACUCAGAUCUGAAAAAGAGGGAGCAGUGGAUUUCACCGGAGCCACCACCACCACCACCAUUAUUACUACCAUCUCCAUCUCCAAACUCGAAAAAAACCUUAAGGUUCUAGUUCUUCAGAUCUGAACUCCAUAUGCUUCAUGUAUUAAUGGUUUUUGGUGGUGGUUCGGUAUGGUUUUUGGAGUGGAGGAGGACAGUGGUGGAUCGAAGAAAGGCAGUGGAGGAAGGAGGAGGGUUUUUCCAGUUGUUGUGGUGGUUCGGUAGGGUUUGUGGUUGUGGUGUUUCAGUAUAUUUCUGUAUAUUUCGCUAUAUUUCAAUGUACUGUUUCAGUAUAUUUCUGUAUAUUUCAGUGUACUGUUUCAGUAUAUUUCGCUAUAUUUCAAUGUAUUUCUAAUUUAUGAAACAAUUUCUGAUACAUUUCAUUGUAUUCUAUUGUAUAUACGCAUACUACAAUUUUAUAUUUCUUAAACAAUCAAC